UUUCUUCGGGGCAGGGUGAGAUUCCCGACCGACGGUGAUGUAUCAUGAUUGGUGAUAUGUAAGUCCGUGAACUGCCAUUUCUGGUAGCCGAUCCGGUGUGAAUCCGGAACCGACAGUAAAGUCUGGAUGGAAGAAGAA
RNAcentral lists this non-coding RNA (138 nucleotides) under human gut metagenome. Its description in RNAcentral is "FMN riboswitch (RFN element)". It matches the Rfam family "FMN riboswitch aptamer (RFN element)". From Rfam's summary of the family: The RFN element is a highly conserved domain that is found frequently in the 5'-untranslated regions of prokaryotic mRNAs that encode for flavin mononucleotide (FMN) biosynthesis and transport proteins. RNAcentral also lists the same sequence under 1 other name. The record is from RNAcentral.